AACGAACGCUGGCGGCAUGCCUAACACAUGCAAGUCGAACGAAGCCUUCGGGCUUAGUGGCGCACGGGUGCGUAACGCGUGGGAAUCUGCCCUUGGGUUCGGAAUAACAGUUAGAAAUGACUGCUAAUACCGAAUGAUGUCUUCGGACCAAAGAUUUAUCGCCCGAGGAUGAGCCCGCGUCGGAUUAGCUAGUUGGUGAGGUAAAGGCUCACCAAGGCGACGAUCCGUAGCUGGUCUGAGAGGAUGAUCAGCCACACUGGGACUGAGACACGGCCCAGACUCCUACGGGAGGCAGCAGUGGGAAUAUUGGACAAUGGCGAAAGCCUGAUCCAGCAAUGCCGCGUGAGUGAUGAAGGCCUUAGGGUUGUAAAGCUCUUUUACCCGGGAUGAUAAUGACAGUACCGGGAGAAUAAGCCCCGGCUAAACUCCGUGCCAGCAGCCGCGGUAAU
RNAcentral lists this ribosomal RNA (449 nucleotides) under uncultured bacterium. Its description in RNAcentral is "bacterial SSU rRNA". It matches the Rfam family "Bacterial small subunit ribosomal RNA", at positions 29 to 524 of the family's 1533-position model. The record is from RNAcentral.